AGUGAACGCUGGCGGUAGGCCUAACACAUGCAAGUCGAACGGCAGCACAGUAAGAGCUUGCUCUUACGGGUGGCGAGUGGCGGACGGGUGAGGAAUACAUCGGAAUCUACUUUUUCGUGGGGGAUCACGUAGGGAAACUUACGCUAAUACCGCAUACGACCUACGGGUGAAAGCAGGGGAUCUUCGGACCUUGCGCGAUUGAAUGAGCCGAUGUCGGAUUAGCUAGUUGGCGGGGUAAAGGCCCACCAAGGCGCCGAUCCGUAGCUGGUCUGAGAGGAUGAUCGGCCACACGAGAAGUGAGACACGGUCCAGACUCCUACGGUAGGCAGCAGUGGGGAAUAUUGGACAAGGGGCGCGAGCCUGAUCCAGCAAUACCGCGUGGGUGAAGAAGGCCUUCGGGUUGGAAAGCCCUUUUGUUGGGAAAGAAAAGCAGCAGGUUAAUACCCCGCUGUUCUGACGGUACCCAAAGAAGAAGCACCGGCUAACUUCGUG
Molecule: ribosomal RNA, 492 nt
Filed under: uncultured bacterium
Lineage: Bacteria
Description: partial 16S ribosomal RNA
Rfam family: Bacterial small subunit ribosomal RNA
Source: RNAcentral